UUUGUUUUUUUGCCAUCGCCAGUAGCAGCUUGAGAAAUCUUCAAAUAUCCAAAAAAGAUUAAAAACUGUCUAUUUGGAGCAAUUUUGUUUUUAUAUAUAUAUAUAUUUUUUUUUUCCCUUUUUUUCAGGCAACGGAACCAGAGGCCCAAACCUAAGCUCAGGAACCAGAACCUGGUGGAGGGCUGGACAGCAGGAGCCCAUUCUGAGUGUUCUAGUGAGAGACAUGAGUUCAUGCCCCCAACAACUAUCUGUCUAUACUUAUCAUGAAGCUGGUAUCGAAAACUUACUGCAAUUUGGAUGGAACCAGGAACCUGCUUCUUCAAAACAUGACUCGGUGGAAAAGAUGCUUCAUCCAUUUCCUUGAAUGCAAAGAGCUCUCGUCAGAAGUGUCAUCAAAUGAGAUGGCGACAUCACUGUCUUCAGAGCUGCUGAACACUGUGAUUUUCAUCUUUGUUUAUUUCCUCUUAAGUUUUCUAUGUUUGGUGGUACAUUCUCUUUUGCCUCUCUGUUAAUUUUUGUAAUUAAUUUGUCAACUGUGGUGUAGUUAUUAAUGUAGUCAAAUACUGUACAUUAAUGCUGUUACCUGACCCUCACCUUUGUCAGAUUGUCAAAGAACCCCCCGACCGUAGGUUUAUUGAAAGUUGUAGCCCUUCCCAAAGAUGUUGCUUCAGGCAUUUUAUGCCAUAAAAUUCUUGAAUCAA
Long non-coding RNA from Brienomyrus brachyistius, 701 nucleotides. RefSeq lists it as uncharacterized. NCBI's taxonomy places the organism in Eukaryota, Metazoa, Chordata, Actinopteri, Osteoglossiformes, Mormyridae. The transcript has 4 exons. The record is from RefSeq and is a predicted model, not a curated record.